Molecule: ribosomal RNA, 673 nt
Filed under: Salmonella enterica subsp. enterica serovar Thompson
Lineage: Bacteria; Pseudomonadati; Pseudomonadota; Gammaproteobacteria; Enterobacterales; Enterobacteriaceae
Also listed under: 3 other names
Description: partial 23S ribosomal RNA
Rfam family: Bacterial large subunit ribosomal RNA
Source: RNAcentral
CUGGUGGGUAGUUUGACUGGGGCGGUCUCCUCCUAAAGAGUAACGGAGGAGCACGAAGGUUGGCUAAUCCUGGUCGGACAUCAGGAGGUUAGUGCAAUGGCAUAAGCCAGCUUGACUGCGAGCGUGACGGCGCGAGCAGGUGCGAAAGCAGGUCAUAGUGAUCCGGUGGUUCUGAAUGGAAGGGCCAUCGCUCAACGGAUAAAAGGUACUCCGGGGAUAACAGGCUGAUACCGCCCAAGAGUUCAUAUCGACGGCGGUGUUUGGCACCUCGAUGUCGGCUCAUCACAUCCUGGGGCUGAAGUAGGUCCCAAGGGUAUGGCUGUUCGCCAUUUAAAGUGGUACGCGAGCUGGGUUUAGAACGUCGUGAGACAGUUCGGUCCCUAUCUGCCGUGGGCGCUGGAGAACUGAGGGGGGCUGCUCCUAGUACGAGAGGACCGGAGUGGACGCAUCACUGGUGUUCGGGUUGUCAUGCCAAUGGCACUGCCCGGUAGCUAAAUGCGGAAGAGAUAAGUGCUGAAAGCAUCUAAGCACGAAACUUGCCCCGAGAUGAGUUCUCCCUGAGACUUAGAGUCUCCUGAAGGAACGUUGAAGACGACGACGUUGAUAGGCCGGGUGUGUAAGCGCAGCGAUGCGUUGAGCUAACCGGUACUAAUGAACCGUGAGGCUUAACCUU